AACCAUAGAAACCUGCGGAGUACCUGCGGAGGGAUCAUUAUAGUAUAUGGAAUCUCCAUUCUAUAAACCCACUCUGCGUAUCUUGUAACUGUUGCUUCCAUGGGACUUGGUUCCGCCACACCGGCUUCACGGCUGGUGAGCGCCCAUGGAAGGAGAAACAAAACUCUUCUUGAAAUGUAGUCAGUCUGAACAAGUUUUUAUAAACGUUAAAACUUUCAACAACGGAUCUCAGAUCGGAAG
Molecule: unclassified non-coding RNA, 240 nt
Filed under: soil metagenome
Description: partial contains 5.8S ribosomal RNA, internal transcribed spacer 2, and large subunit ribosomal RNA
Source: RNAcentral